Molecule: long non-coding RNA, 2618 nt
Organism: Anolis carolinensis (green anole)
Lineage: Eukaryota; Metazoa; Chordata; Lepidosauria; Squamata; Anolidae
Exons: 3
Source: RefSeq, a predicted model, not a curated record
CCCUUACAAUAUCCAAGAUGGCUCACUGCUACAGAAUCUUGGGAGGUUUAGUUUGGUAUGGUACCAUUAUUGGCAGAGAAAGCCAAGCUGUAGGAGUUGAAAUCCAAUCAUUUAUCCUCCCUAUAUAAUCAAUUUUAUAUGCAUUUUUAGCUACAGAAAAGCUAAACUCAGGACAGUAAAAGAACAACACCCAGAAAAUGGGAAUUCCAGACAGGAAACAAUCAGGGUCAGCUAAUACCUCCCAACAAAGGAUUCCCCCAGGUAGGAAGCAGCCAGGCUUUGAAGCUGCAAGGCUAUUCAAUGCUAAUCAAGGUGACCAAUUGCAACAUUCACACUUGCCUCCCACAGACAAGAGUUCUUUCUCCCACCCUGGACCUUCCACAGAUAUAUAAACCCCACUUGCCUAGCUUCGCACAGACGUCAAAACCUCUGAGUAUGUCUGCCACAGAUGUGGGUGAAAUGUCAGGAGAGAAUGCUUCUGGCACAUGGCCAUAGAGCCCGGAAUACAUACCACAACAGUGUGAUCCCGGCCAUGAAAGCUUUCGACAACACAACCACAGUAUCCAUUCAAGUUCAUGUAGCGUGAGGCAACCAGAGCAACAUGGCAGGGCCGAAGCAAGGGGGCAGACUUGAGGAGGAGAAGCAGCAGCAAUAGGCAAGGGCUUAAAAUCAAUGCCAUCUGAUUGAUCACUAAAGAAAAGAGAUAAGCUAAAGAGAUUAACGACAUGUCAUCAACACUUCUACUUAUAAGCUGAAAUAUGAAAAAAGAGUCAGAAAAUAACAAGAACAGAAAAGCAGCUGUCUGAAAAUCAAAUUUAUUUGUGAAUUAUCUGGUGUCUUUGUCACUCUACUGCAUUGAAAACCAGGAUGAAGCAUGCUCUUACUGGUAACAGUAUUUUGACAUGCAGUUUUCUUGUUGAGUUUACAAACAAGUGAAUAGAAAAUAUGUCAUUAAGAUUUUGCAACAUGAUCUCUGUACUAAUUGUCCUUCAUAAAUACUAGCAGCAUGUUGAAAUUGGCAUAUUAAAGGUAUGUCUCAGAGUAUUAACAAAUGUACCUCAAUAAUCAUGUUAUUAUCUUUAUUGUGCCAUUGAAUAUUUAGUAAGAAUCAAUCAAAUCAAUUGUCUAAUGGAUGUGGACUAUACAGCCUGUAUAGGUCUUUCCUGUUGUAAAUGCAUAUGAUUGCUACUUGGACUCUACAGGUGCCUGUUUUGACGAGAAGUCCUUUAAGUAGGAGCACCUUGCCAAUAUAAGGAUGUCUAAUCUGGUUUCUAUACUAUCUCUUUCACAGAGGUCUUAAAUCAUAAUUUUCUGCUGCUUUUCCAUCGGUUUUCCAUUCUGCAGCACUUAUUUUCUGUUGCUGAUUUUAUCUUGGUUUUAUUGUAUGCCAUCUUUAGCCAUCAUUUUAUUUUUGUGUGUAUAGGUGUAGCGAAAUGCGUAAUUAUAUGGGAGAUUUAGAACUUGUUGUAAUAGUUAAGACAUAGCUUACCUUGCAGGGUUGGUGUGUGAACUGCCAUUUUGUAGCACUCGGAAUCUGACAUCAAGAGAAGAGCUGAUUUACAUAGCAGCGACCUGAUUGGUCAUAUGUAAAUGCACGUGUGCCAGAGUUCAAAAGUGCAGUUGGCAGUUGGCAGUUAGGAAAGCAGCUGAACAUUCUAAAGCAGUUAGAUGGGAAAAGCUACCUGUUAGGACAGGAUAGUGAGUUGUGGUCAGUGAAGAUAGGUUACGAAAUGUGUUAACAGAAGAUAUUUGCUGGAAUAAUUAAUAUAAUGAGUUGAGAAUAGCCCCUGCGAAGUAAAAGUGUUCCUUGUUGUGUUUGCAAGACUGUGUGAGAGGAAAUAGUACUGUAACAUUGUAUUUUCAACUAAGAAAGCAAAACUCCAAUGUAACCAACACGCUUCUGUGCCGGACAACAAUAAAAUAAACUUUGUUACUGUUUCAUUCAAGCAAAAGACUGUGACUCUAAAACACUGGGUGAGAGUUAAACAGAAGUUUUUCCUUUGAGUGUGAAGAAACCUCUGUGAAGAGGAUCCCACAGAUUAAUCUCUGUGAAGAGGGACCUCCAUAUAUCUAUUAGUGGCAGUGAUUGGGAUGACAAGAUUAUCCUCUGCCUGAAGUUGAAGAGGCACGUCUUCACAAUAGGUAAUCAGAAAGUGCAAUAAAUACAUACGUAAACACAUUGUUUUGCUGCUUUCAGCAUGACAUACAACUAAAACAACUGCAAAUAAAAUAUGGAAGCAACAUGCAACAAUAAUACAGAUCUUUAUGUGUGUCUGUCUGUCAGUAUGGCAUCUCUGCAUACAUGUAUGUGUGAUCACUUUGCUUAUACUUGUUGCAAUGAUGUGUGAUGCCACCAUUUAGAAAAACAACAAUCUAGAAUUAUAUGCAUAAAUAUUAGUUCAACAUAACCAUCUCAUCCUCAGGCUUAUUUAAACUGGCUAAGUAGAACAAUUCAUAAUAAGCAAUAAGUUUGCAAAUUUUGAAAGAAUGAUAUACAGGUGAAAUCUACAAAUUGAUUUGUAUGUAGACAUUUGGUCAGCUUUUUUAGAAUAGUGCGACUAUUAUGAUUAUUUUCCCUCUUUUUGUGUUUUUAUUUCCAUUCAUUUGUUAUACUUUUG